UCUAAUAUGGCAGAUUAGUGUAAUAGAUUUAAAUCCUAUAUAUGUAAUAAAAAUUACUAUUAGAA
Molecule: transfer RNA, 65 nt
Filed under: Kradibia wassae
Lineage: Eukaryota; Metazoa; Arthropoda; Insecta; Hymenoptera; Agaonidae
Description: tRNA-Leu
Source: RNAcentral